This 587-nucleotide ribosomal RNA is filed under the name uncultured fungus. Its description in RNAcentral is "eukaryotic LSU rRNA". The stretch from base 212 to 365 matches the Rfam family "5.8S ribosomal RNA". Lineage: Eukaryota; Fungi. The record is from RNAcentral.
AAGUCGUAACAAGGUCUCCGUUGGUGAACCAGCGGAGGGAUCAUUAUCGAGUGUUACAACUCCCAAACCCUAUGUGAACCUUACCUACUGUUGCUUCGGCGGGACCGCCCCGGUGCCUCUGUGCGCCGGAACCAGGCGCCCGCCGGGGGACCAAAACUCUUGAUUGUCUUAGUGGUAUUCUCUCUGAGUGGCACAAGCAAAAUAAAAUUAAAACUUUCAACAACGGAUCUCUUGGUUCUGGCAUCGAUGAAGAACGCAGCGAAAUGCGAUAAGUAAUGUGGAUUGCAGAAUUCAGUGAAUCAUCGAAUCUUUGAACGCACAUUGCGCCCGCUAGUAUUCUGGCGGGCAUGCCUGUUCGAGCGUCAUUUCAACCCUCGAGCCCCUCCGGGCUUGGUGUUGGGGAUCGGCUGCCGUCUCCGGCCGGCCGACCCCGAAAUACAGUGGCGGUCCCGCCGCAGCGUCCUCUGCGUAGUAGCACACACCUCGCACUGGAACGCGGCGCUGCCACGCCGUAAAGCAAAGGGGCGCACGCCUCUUUCUCUUUCAAGGUUGACCUCGGAUCAGGUAGGAAUACCCGCUGAACUUAA